UACGAAGGGGGCUAGCGUUGUUCGGAAUUACUGGGCGUAAAGGGCGUGUAGGCGGAUGUGCAAGUCCGUUGUGAAAGCCCCCGGCUCAACCGGGGAAUGCCAGCGGAUACUGCAUGUCUUGAGUGCGGGAGGGAAGAGUGGAACUCUUGGUGGAGCGGUGAAAUGCGUAGAUAUCAAGAGGAACGCCGGUGGCGAAAGCGGCUCUUUGGCCCGUAACUGACGCUGAGGCGCGAAAGCCAGGGGAGCAAGC
RNAcentral lists this ribosomal RNA (250 nucleotides) under uncultured bacterium. RNAcentral's name for it is "partial 16S ribosomal RNA". It matches the Rfam family "Bacterial small subunit ribosomal RNA", at positions 524 to 773 of the family's 1533-position model. The record is from RNAcentral.